This 371-nucleotide ribosomal RNA is filed under the name uncultured bacterium. RNAcentral describes it as "bacterial SSU rRNA". It matches the Rfam family "Bacterial small subunit ribosomal RNA", at positions 790 to 1167 of the family's 1533-position model. The record is from RNAcentral.
GUAGUCUUAGCUAUAAACGAUGUUCACUAGGUGUCGGGGGAUUCCUUCGGUGCCGCAGCUAACGCAUUAAGUGAACCGCCUGGGGACUACGGCCGCAAGGUUGAAACUCAAAGGAAUUGGCGGGGGCCCGCACAAGCGGUGGAGCAUAUGGCUUAAUUCGAUGCAACGCGAAGAACCUUACCAGGGCUUGACAUGGAGCUGCAAGGUGGAGAAAUUCACCCGCUCUCGAAGGUGCUUCACAGGUGGUGCAUGGCUGUCGUCAGCUCGUGUUGUGAAAUGUUGGGUUAAGUCCCGCAACGAGCGCAACCCUCACGUUCUGUUACCAGCGAGUAAAGUCGGGGACUCGGAACGAACUGCCUCUGUAAAGAGGA